AAAACAUCAGGGCCCUUUUUGCUUUAACUCCAUCACGUAUUUCAGUGACAAAGUUGAGUAAAUAGUAUGGCACUGUGGGAGAAAGGACUUUACAAUUUAUCAGUUCUUUCCUUUGCAUUCUGAGGCUUACAAUGCUUUCAGAAGAACAAUCUCUUCUUCCAGAAUGCCUUGGAAUUUAUACUGACUCUGCAAUAAAAAGGAACAUUAAGGGGCUUUGAUUGCUUUGGGUGGCAAGAUGCACUAGGCUUUCGGCAAUAGAGCGGAUUUAGGAAAGGAAAACACUAGAUAAGACAUAGGGAUGAGAAUUGGACUAGACCUUGGAGAGAGAUGCAAAUGGAGAAACUGAAAACCAGAGAGAUGAUUUAUCCAUCAGCACACAACACAUAAAGAGCAGAGCAAGGAUUUAAGCCCAGUUCUGGUGACUUCAAAUGCAGCAUUCUUUCUGCCAGGCCCUUUAAUUUCCUUUACAUUUUUAAAAGCAUUUUCAUUGUUUUUAUACUUUGUAAAAAGAGCCUACAUGCCCAUUUUUAGUCCCAUAACAACUUUGAAAAGCUUAAAACAUGAGGAUUAACAAGAUAGAUGGGACCUCAGAAAUCAAUGAGUCCAAAUGCCAGUUUCACAGAUGAGAAAACUGGGUCAUGGUGUGGGAAAAGUGACUCAUCCAAUGUCAUAAAGAUAGUCAGUGACAGAACACAGAUUUAAACCCAAGUCCUCUGAUCUCAAAUACAAUGUGUGCCUGAUUUCCCUUUACUAGGGGGCCUAGUUGAAAGCUGAAUCCAUAUUUUCAGCCUCACCUAAACUGAUAAACAGAGAUUAAUGCUUUAAACAAAAAUACAUUGUAGAACCAUACCUCCUGCCAUCUGCUAAUCUAAUUGGAUCUAUGCCCUACACCAAAUGGUGAGCAAAAAGGAAACUCCAAAUAUCCUCUGGCUCCUAAUCAAUGGAUCAAUAUGUUUAAAAACUGCAAAGAAGGAAUGAGUAGAGAUUCUUUCCACAGCUGGAAGUUCCAUCUUACCUGACCAAAAGAAAGGAUUUCACAGAGUAUGGUGAACUCUCUCUAAUAUUGCAGUAUUGUUCCCCGUGAAGACACACACGAGAAAUAGCAUGAGGCAAAAGAAGACUAGCAAAUAAGCAAUGACCUUCACUUAGCCAUCAGGCCUUGGAUAAUGUCAGCCCAAAGAAGCAGACCUCCGUGGCAGAAAGACCUACAUAGAAGCUUAUAAAUCAUUACUGGAGUCUUCUACCCCAGGAGGUAAAGUGAAAAAUUCUUAGGCUGCUAACUGAAAUGACCCAGCUCCACAAGGGGUAAUUUCCCAGAGGCCAGAAUGCUAACUAUAUUAUCAUUGCUUCAUAAGUGUUUGUACACUUUCCCUACUUGUUCGAGAAAAAUAAAAGGGGAGGUUUGAGCUUUUAAAAGCCUACUGAUUUCACAUCAUCUUGCUGCUUCUGCUAUCGCAGCGCCCAGGACAGCCACAUAGAAAUAUUGAGUACUCCAAGGGAUGUGCCAUCUCAUCGAUAAGGGCAUUUCCUA
This is a long non-coding RNA of Sarcophilus harrisii (Tasmanian devil), 1531 nucleotides long. RefSeq lists it as uncharacterized. The transcript has 3 exons. The record is from RefSeq and is a predicted model, not a curated record. NCBI's taxonomy places the organism in Eukaryota, Metazoa, Chordata, Mammalia, Dasyuromorphia, Dasyuridae.